Ursus americanus (American black bear) is the source of this 119-nucleotide ribosomal RNA. The record is from Ensembl. Lineage: Eukaryota; Metazoa; Chordata; Mammalia; Carnivora; Ursidae.
AGGCAGUACAGGCCACCCUGAACACACCUGAUCUCAUCUGAUCUUGGAAGCUAAGUAGGGUUGGGCCUAGUUAGUACUUGGAUGGGAGACAAGUGUAAUUUUAAUUGUCUAUUUGCUUU